RNAcentral lists this ribosomal RNA (517 nucleotides) under uncultured bacterium. RNAcentral describes it as "bacterial SSU rRNA". It matches the Rfam family "Bacterial small subunit ribosomal RNA", at positions 29 to 518 of the family's 1533-position model. The record is from RNAcentral.
AGCGAACGUUAGCGGCGGGCCUAACACAUGCAAGUCGAACGAGAAUGAGGGCUUCGGCUCUCUAGUAAAGUGGCGGACGGGUGCGUAACACGUGGGUAAUCUACCUUCCGGCGGGGGACAACAGUCCGAAAGGAUUGCUAAUACCGCAUACGUCAGCGGCGCCUACGGGCGCUGUUGGGAAAGAUGGCCUCUCCUUGGAAGCUGUCACCGGAAGAUGAGCCCGCGGCCCAUCAGCUAGUUGGUGAGGUAAUGGCUCACCAAGGCUAAGACGGGUAGCUGGUCUGAGAGGAUGAUCAGCCACACUGGGACUGCGACACGGCCCAGACUCCUACGGGAGGCAGCAGUGGGGAAUAUUGGGCAAUGGGCGAAAGCCUGACCCAGCCACGCCGCGUGAGUGAAUGAAGGCCUUCGGGUCGUAAAGCUCUGUGGGGAGGGACGAAUAAGUCCGGUGCUAAUAUCACCGGGCCCUGACGGUACCUCCUUAGCAAGCACCGGCUAACCCUGUGCCAGCCGCAGC